Molecule: ribosomal RNA, 1001 nt
Filed under: uncultured cyanobacterium
Lineage: Bacteria; Bacillati; Cyanobacteriota
Description: bacterial SSU rRNA
Rfam family: Bacterial small subunit ribosomal RNA
Source: RNAcentral
GUGCCAGCCGCCGCGGUAAUACGGAGGAUGCAAGCGUUAUCCGGAAUGAUGGGGCGUAAAGCGUCCGCAGGUGGCAGUACAAGUCUGCUGUCAAAGGUCAAGGCUUAACUUUGGACAGGCAGUGGAAACUGUACAGCUAGAGUAUGGUGGGGGCAGAGGGAAUUCCCAGUGUAGCGGUGAAAUGCGUAGAGAUUGGGAAGAACACCAGUGGCGAAGGCGCUCUGCUAGGCCAAAACUGACACUCAGGGACGAAAGCUAGGGGAGCGAAUGGGAUUAGAUACCCCAGUAGUCCUAGCCGUAAACGAUGGAUACUAGGUGUAGCUUGUAUCGACCCAAGCUGUGCCGUAGCUAACGCGUUAAGUAUCCCGCCUGGGGAGUACGCCGGCAACGGUGAAACUCAAAGGAAUUGACGGGGGCCCGCACAAGCGGUGGAGUAUGUGGUUUAAUUCGAUGCAACGCGAAGAACCUUACCAGGGCUUGACAUGUCUGGAAUUCCGGCGAAAGUUGGAAGUGCCUUAGGGAGCCAGAACACAGGUGGUGCAUGGCUGUCGUCAGCUCGUGUCGUGAGAUGUUGGGUUAAGUCCCGCAACGAGCGCAACCCUCGUGUUUAGUUGCCAGCGGGUAAAGCCGGGCACUCUAGAGAGACUGCCGGUGACAAACCGGAGGAAGGUGGGGAUGACGUCAAGUCAGCAUGCCCCUUACGUCCUGGGCUACACACGUACUACAAUGCUACGGACAAAGGGCAGCAAGCAUGCGAAUGCAAGCAAAUCCCAUAAACCGUGGCUCAGUUCAGAUUGCAGGCUGCAACUCGCCUGCAUGAAGGCGGAAUCGCUAGUAAUCGCAGGUCAGCCGUACUGCGGUGAAUACGUUCCCGGGCCUUGUACGCACCGCCCGUCACACCAUGGAAGCUGGCAGUGCCCGAAGUCGUUACCCCAACCGUUCGCGGAGGGGGAUGCCGAAGGCAGGGCUGAUGACUGGGGUGAAGUCGUAACAAGGUAACC